GACGAACGCUGGCGGCGUGCUUAACACAUGCAAGUCGAACGGAAAGGCCCUGCUUUUGUGGGGUGCUCGAGUGGCGAACGGGUGAGUAACACGUGAGUAACCUGCCCUUGACUUUGGGAUAACUUCAGGAAACUGGGGCUAAUACCGGAUAGGAGCUCCUGCUGCAUGGUGGGGGUUGGAAAGUUUCGGCGGUUGGGGCUGGACUCGCGGCUUAUCAGCUUGUUGGUGGGGUAGUGGCUUACCAAGGCUUUGACGGGUAGCCGGCCUGAGAGGGUGGCCGGCCACAUGGGGACUGAGAUACGGCCCAGACUCCUACGGGAGGCAGCAGUGGGGAAUAUUGCACAAUGGGCGGAAGCCUGAUGCAGCAACGCCGCGUGCGGGAUGACGGCCUUCGGGUUGUAAACCGCUUUCGCCUGUGACGAAGCGUGAGUGACGGUAAUGGGUAAAGAAGCACCGGCUAACUACGUG
RNAcentral lists this ribosomal RNA (468 nucleotides) under uncultured bacterium. RNAcentral's name for it is "partial 16S ribosomal RNA". It matches the Rfam family "Bacterial small subunit ribosomal RNA", at positions 28 to 507 of the family's 1533-position model. The record is from RNAcentral.